RNAcentral lists this ribosomal RNA (497 nucleotides) under uncultured bacterium. RNAcentral describes it as "partial 16S ribosomal RNA". It matches the Rfam family "Bacterial small subunit ribosomal RNA", at positions 28 to 507 of the family's 1533-position model. The record is from RNAcentral.
GAUGAACGCUGGCGGCGUGCCUAAUACAUGCAAGUCGAGCGAACAGACGAGGAGCUUGCUCCUCUGACGUUAGCGGCGGACGGGUGAGUAACACGUGGAUAACCUACCUAUAAGACUGGGAUAACUUCGGGAAACCGGAGCUAAUACCGGAUAAUAUAUUGAGCCGCAUGGUUCAAUAGUGAAAGACGGUUUUGCUGUCACUAUAGAUGGGUUCCGCGCCGCAUUAGCUAGUUGGUAAGGUAACGGCUUACCAAGGCAACGAUGCGUAGCCGACCUGAGAGGGUGAUCGGCCACACUGGAACUGAGACACGGUCCAGACUCCUACGGGAGGCAGCAGUAGGGAAUCUUCCGCAAUGGGCGAAAGCCUGACGGAGCAACGCCGCGUGAGUGAUGAAGGUCUUCGGAUCGUAAAACUCUGUUAUUAGGGAAGAACAAAUGUGUAAGUAACUAUGCACGUCUUGACGGUACCUAAUCAGAAAGCCACGGCUAACUACGUG